UACAGAGGGGGCGAGCGUUAUUCGGAAUUAUUGGGCGUAAAGGGCGCGUAGGCGGCUUUGCAAGUGACGGGUGAAAUCCCUCGGCUUAACCGAGGAACUGCCUGUCAAACUGCAUGGCUUGAGACCGGGAGAGGUGAGUGGAAUUCCCAGUGUAGCGGUGAAAUGCGUAGAUAUUGGGAAGAACACCAGUGGCGAAGGCGGCUCACUGGACCGGUAUUGACGCUGAGGUGCGAAAGCGUGGGGAGCAAACAGG
RNAcentral lists this ribosomal RNA (253 nucleotides) under uncultured bacterium. RNAcentral's name for it is "partial 16S ribosomal RNA". It matches the Rfam family "Bacterial small subunit ribosomal RNA", at positions 524 to 776 of the family's 1533-position model. The record is from RNAcentral.